RNAcentral lists this ribosomal RNA (264 nucleotides) under uncultured bacterium. RNAcentral describes it as "partial 16S ribosomal RNA". It matches the Rfam family "Bacterial small subunit ribosomal RNA", at positions 524 to 784 of the family's 1533-position model. The record is from RNAcentral.
UACGUAGGGUGCGAGCGUUAAUCGGAAUUACUGGGCGUAAAGCGUGCGCAGGCGGUUAUAUAAGACAGAUGUGAAAUCCCCGGGCUCAACCUGGGAACUGCAUUAGUGACUGUAUAGCUAGAGUGCGGCAGAGGGGGAGUGGAAAUUCCCGCGUGUAGCAGUGAAAUGCGUAGAUAUGCGGAGGAACACCGAUGGCGAAGGCAAUCCCCUGGGCCUGCACUGACGCUCAUGCNCGAAAGCGUGGGGAGCAAACAGGAUUAGAUA